This 453-nucleotide ribosomal RNA is filed under the name Alcaligenes sp. RNAcentral's name for it is "partial 16S ribosomal RNA". It matches the Rfam family "Bacterial small subunit ribosomal RNA", at positions 350 to 794 of the family's 1533-position model. Lineage: Bacteria; Pseudomonadati; Pseudomonadota; Betaproteobacteria; Burkholderiales; Alcaligenaceae. The record is from RNAcentral.
UGGGGGGGGAAUUUUUGGGACAAUGGGGGAAACCCUGAUGCCAGCCAUCCCGCGUGUGUGAGAAGGCCUUCGGGUUGUAAAGUACUUUUGGCAGAGAAGAAAAGGUAUCACCUAAUACGGGAUACUGCUGACGGUAUCUGCACAAUAAGCACCGGCUAACUACCUGCCCGCAGCCGCGGUUAUACAUAGGGUGCAAGCGUUAAUCGGAAUUACUGGGCGUAAAGCGUGUGUAGGCGGUUCGGAAAGAAAGAUGUGAAAUCCCCGGGCUCAACCUUGGAACUGCAUUUUUAACUGCCGAGCUUUAGUAUGUCAGAGGGGGGUAGAAUUCCCCGUGUAGCAGUGAAAUGCGUAAAUAUGUGGAGGAAUACCGAUGGCGAAAGCAGCCCCCUGGGAUAAUACUGACCCUCAAACCCCAAAUUGUGGGGAGCAAACAGGAUUAAAUACCCCUGUAUU